UUCUUAGGUUUGAUUUUGUUUUUGUUAGUUUUGACCUUGGAUAUUGUUAGGGUUUUAAAUGAUUGUUCUUUUGGGUCAACUAUUAUUCUUUGUGUACAUAUGGGUGUUUUGCAUUUAAUUUGUUGGCAGCACUUAUUGGCAGCCCCCUGGAGUUUUGGUUUGAAUUUUCUGUUUUAA
Vicia faba (fava bean) is the source of this 177-nucleotide non-coding RNA. Lineage: Eukaryota; Viridiplantae; Streptophyta; Magnoliopsida; Fabales; Fabaceae. The record is from the annotation of a GenBank genome assembly.